UGCUAAUGUUAACAUAUUUUUUUCUUUUGACGCGAAUGCGUAUGAAAAUAAUUGAAACUGAUUAUUUUCUCACGUUACCGCAAAGGCCCGGCUCCUCGCCGAAUUGGGUCGCAGCUAAUAGGCCAUUGUUGAUGCUAAUCUGUUUGUUGCAGAUUGAAACGGCCGAUUGAGAAGGUGAGAAGCGUAUGCAGGCCCACUUGCCUAAUUACGGAAUUAGAAUCGACCGCCUCAACUGGAACUACUUGAAGAGUAGGUGUAUUUGAGACGAUAUACGGAAUUGUAGUCAUCUUACAAACGAAUUGU
Long non-coding RNA from Cydia splendana, 303 nucleotides. RefSeq lists it as uncharacterized. Lineage: Eukaryota; Metazoa; Arthropoda; Insecta; Lepidoptera; Tortricidae. The record is from RefSeq and is a predicted model, not a curated record. The transcript is spliced from 3 exons.